GCUCAGUAACACGUGGAUAACCUACCCUUAGGACUGGGAUAACCUUGGGAAACUGAGGAUAAUACUGGGUAGGCAAUUAUUCCUGGAAUGGUUUUUUGUUUAAAUGUUUUUUCGCCUAAGGAUGGGUCUGCGGCCGAUUAGGUAGUUGGUUAGGUAACGGCUUACCAAGCCAUUGAUCGGUACGGGUUGUGAGAGCAAGAGCCCGGAGAUGGAACCUGAGACAAGGUUCCAGGCCCUACGGGGUGCAGCAGGCGCGAAACCUCCGCAAUGUGAGAAAUCGCGACGGGGGGAUCCCAAGUGCCAUUCUUAACGGGAUGGCUUUUCAUUAGUGUAAAGAGCUUUUGGAAUAAGGGCUGGGCAAGACCGGUGCCAGCCACCGCGGUAACACCGGCAGCUCUAGUGGUAGCAGUUUUUAUUGGGCCUAAAGCGUCCGUAGCCGGUUUAAUAAGUCUCUGGUGAAAUCCUGUAGCUUAACUGUGGGAAUUGCUGGAGAUACUAUUAGACUUGAGACCGGGAGAGGUUAGAGGUACUCCCAGGGUAGAGGUGAAAUUCUGUAAUCCUGGGAGGACCGCCUGUUGCGAAGGCGUCUAACUGGAACGGUUCUGACGGUGAGGGACGAAAGUUAGGGGCGCGAACCGGAUUAGAUACCCGGGUAGUCCUAACUGUAAACGAUGCGGACUUGGUGUUGGGGUGGCUUUGAGCUGCUCCAGUGCCGAAGGAAAGCUGUUAAGUCCGCCGCCUGGGAAGUACGGUCGCAGACUGAAACUUAA
Molecule: ribosomal RNA, 770 nt
Filed under: uncultured archaeon
Lineage: Archaea
Description: bacterial SSU rRNA
Rfam family: Archaeal small subunit ribosomal RNA
Source: RNAcentral